This 337-nucleotide unclassified non-coding RNA is filed under the name Hevea brasiliensis (rubber tree). Lineage: Eukaryota; Viridiplantae; Streptophyta; Magnoliopsida; Malpighiales; Euphorbiaceae. The record is from RNAcentral.
GUUGGAGAACUCCUUGGAGACUCAGAAAAAAUUGCAAGAGGACACAUAUAGCUUGAAGCCCUGUGGAUUGCAAGAGUUGAAUAUUGAAGAGUGCCAAUUUGAUCCAGAUGUGGAAGAAGGCUCUUGGAAUUUUGAUGGCAUAGGAAACCAGAAACUUCCAUCGAUUCCAGACAGCAAAACAAAAGGAGACGGCAAAACUUCUUUUAGAUGUCCUAGGAUAUCAGUCUCAUCCAAGGGGGAUGCCAAAAGGAAAAGAGGGAGACCUGUUGGCAAGAGUGUGAAGAGAGGAACAGGCGUUAGCCAAGCUCGAAGAACACGACCUCGCAUCGGAAAGCCU